UAAAAAAUCAAUAAAAUAUAUUAAAAAAAAAAAAAAAGAAGAAGCAGAGUGACACAGCUGGUAGUAGGGGGCGAGUGGCUCCCCGGUGGGAACCCAGCCUUCCCUGCAGGCAGAGGGUAAGGGGCUGAUGGGUGGACCGCGGGGGUUCCCUCCGCCUGACCACAACCGGGGAGGGGCCGAGCCCAGAGACCUGUCUUGCUUCUCACAGGACACUCCUGGCGGGUCUGAACUGGGUCAGAUGCAUGAGCUGAGGGGCCCAGCGAGGGCCGGGCAGGUGGGGGAAGUCCCGACUGAGGGAAAUACACUUCGGUGCUGCUGAGCGUGGCCUCUGGAGCCUGCCUGCCAGACUUUGGACUCAGACACGGUGGCCUGUAAGAUGUGUGGCCUUGAGCCCACAUGGGGCCAGCAUGGGCCUUGGAGCAGCACCAAGGACCCACUCACCCUUCUGCCCCUGAGUCCGGACCGGAGUCGGCCUGGAAUCCAGGCCCACGUGGACGCCCCUCCCUAGCUUGCAGACUCAGAGUUGGGGGAGGCUGAGCAUGGCGCACUGUGCAGCCCCAGCUCCUGCUGACAGAGAAACUGCUCACAAUAAAAGGCUCCUGCUCCACUGGG
Molecule: long non-coding RNA, 612 nt
Organism: Myotis brandtii (Brandt's bat)
Lineage: Eukaryota; Metazoa; Chordata; Mammalia; Chiroptera; Vespertilionidae
Exons: 2
Source: RefSeq, a predicted model, not a curated record